Molecule: long non-coding RNA, 1007 nt
Organism: Pteropus alecto (black flying fox)
Lineage: Eukaryota; Metazoa; Chordata; Mammalia; Chiroptera; Pteropodidae
Exons: 2
Source: RefSeq, a predicted model, not a curated record
GCCCCCAGCGCGCCCACGCCGUGCCCGCAGUGCCGGCCUGCUCCAGGCAGACGCCCAGCACUCUUGGGUCCGGUGCCGCCUCCCCGGCCGUGUGGCCCAGGCAGAGCGCGGCCAUCACGCAACCCAGCAGCCCUGCCGCCGCCGCCAUCGCCCGCCGCCCUCUCUUGGCCUCCGCGCAGCCUACCUCCGCCUCCACCGGCCAAUCGGCGCCGGCCUCGCGUCCCCUCCUCCAAUGGGCGGUGCGCGAGGGCGGGCCCAGGCCGUUAGGCUGCGCCGGCGCGUAAACAAGUGGCGCGGGCCGGGGCGACCGGGGGGCGGGCCUCGCGCUCGGAGAAGGCGGGGCCAGGAGUCGGGGCGGGCAGCAGCGGGCGGAGGUCUCAGUGGGAGGGCGGCAUACCGCUUUCUGAGGCAAGGCCUGGCUAUCAACGGCCUCGAGGCAGGACAGCUGAAGGGAGAACCGGGACUGAGCAUCGGGAAGCUAAGGUUCCAUUCCGUAGGAUGUCGUGAGGGAGUCUGUCCCCGCUGCAGGAGAAAAGUGAAGCGUGAGUCGGCACGGAAGUUGACUUCCAGCGCGACCUGCCUUCUACUCCCUCAUCCCCCAGCCCCUUUCAGAGACCUGUCAGAAAUGCCUAGAUCUGCCCCUGCACUUCACCGCUUCCCGGGUCUCAGGCUCCCAGGGAAAAUGACCUGUAACUCAUUGUGUUGCGGAAACCUUUGGACACUCACUCGGAGCGACUGAGUCACACCGACAAUCUUCUGGACUGUCGUGCCUCGGACCUGAAUGAAGUUCAGGGUGAAGGGGUCACGAGUACUUUCCUGCUAAGCAGAAGCCUCGCCCAUUGAUACCUCACCGGCUUUUUUCCAGUCCCUUGGUUAGUCACAGCAUCAAUGGAGACACUUGCCAUUUGACCUUCAUGUCCCUCUCCCCUCCCUGGGCCAUUUUCUUUACUAGUCAUCUGGUUCAAUACAAUUACUUCCAUAUUAUAUCUAAAUACUUGAGUUUCAAA